AGUGAACGCUGGCGGUAGGCCUAACACAUGCCAGUCGAACGGCAGCACAGUAAGAGCUUGCUCUUACGGGUGGCGAGUGGCGGACGGGUGAGGAAUACAUCGGAAUCUACUUUUUCGUGGGGGAUAACGUAGGGAAACUUACGCUAAUACCGCAUACGACCUACGGGUGAAAGCAGGGGAUCUUCGGACCUUGCGCGAUUGAAUGAGCCGAUGGCGGAUUAGCGAGUUGGCGGGGUAAAGGCCCACCAAGGCGACGAUCCGUAGCUGGUCUGAGAGGAUGAUCAGCCACACUGGAACUGAGACACGGUCCAGACUCCUACGGGAGGCAGCAGUGGGGAAUAUUGGACAAUGGGCGCAAGCCUGAUCCAGCCAUACCGCGUGGGUGAAGAAGGCCUUCGGGUUGUAAAGCCCUUUUGUUGGGAAAGAAAAGCAGCAGGUUAAUCCCCCGCUGUUCUGACGGUACCCAAAGAAUAAGCACCGGCUAACUUCGUG
Molecule: ribosomal RNA, 492 nt
Filed under: uncultured bacterium
Lineage: Bacteria
Description: partial 16S ribosomal RNA
Rfam family: Bacterial small subunit ribosomal RNA
Source: RNAcentral